This 253-nucleotide ribosomal RNA is filed under the name uncultured bacterium. RNAcentral's name for it is "partial 16S ribosomal RNA". It matches the Rfam family "Bacterial small subunit ribosomal RNA", at positions 524 to 776 of the family's 1533-position model. The record is from RNAcentral.
UACGUAGGGGGCAAGCGUUGUCCGGAUUUAUUGGGCGUAAAGAGCGUGUAGGCGGCCAAGCAGGUCCGCUGUGAAAACUCGAGGCUCAACCUCGAGACGUCGGUGGAAACCGUUUGGCUAGAGUCCGGAAGAGGAGAGUGGAAUUCCCGGUGUAGCGGUGAAAUGCGCAGAUAUCGGGAAGAACACCCGUGGCGAAGGCGGCUCUCUGGGACGGUACUGACGCCGAGACGCGAAAGCGUGGGGAGCGAACAGG